GUCUGUGUUGUAGUUAAUGAACGUGAAAUCACGUGCUUGGUCGAUGCAGUGGAACAGAGGGUUCCAAUCAAAGAAAGCAAGCAGGUAAGCGGGCAUGGUAUUGGCGACAAACAUCUUGCCAGACGCGAUCAUGUUGGCGCG
Molecule: non-coding RNA, 141 nt
Filed under: Thalassobium sp. R2A62
Lineage: Bacteria; Pseudomonadati; Pseudomonadota; Alphaproteobacteria; Rhodobacterales; Paracoccaceae
Description: Thalassiobium sp. R2A62 Ruegeria cis2 sRNA
Rfam family: Ruegeria cis2 sRNA
About the family: Cis-encoded.
Source: Rfam by way of RNAcentral